Molecule: non-coding RNA, 1839 nt
Organism: Elaeis guineensis (African oil palm)
Lineage: Eukaryota; Viridiplantae; Streptophyta; Magnoliopsida; Arecales; Arecaceae
Source: RefSeq, a predicted model, not a curated record
GGAUUCAAAUCUAAAAUUUUUCACUUGCCGCCUAGCAACCCGCUGCAAGCUAGCUCCCACUCGAUUGAGGAAAAAAUAGAGGAAAUAUCCAACACAAAACCCCAGCAAUCGUCUGACCCGGUUCGGCCGCUCCAAGCCUCCCACCCGGUUGGGAUUCCUGAGGACGGAAAAAAGAGAGGAAAAUUGGGGAAAACAUAGGAAAAAUCCACGAAACCAAAGGAAAGAUGGAGAUAAUUUAAGAGCACUUGUGAGAGAUAGAGGGGUUUCUUAGGUUCCAUUUGGGCUUUUCUCUCAAGUAUAUGGGAUUUUGUGCGACUUGGGGUGGUGUGAGUUGGUUCUUGAGGUUGUGGCAGUGUGAAAACAAAGAAAAAAUCACCGAGAAGAUGGAAGAAAUCAAAAGGGAAGUUUGAGGGAAAGGACGAGAGCAAGCUUAGUUAAAUUGAAGGACAAAGGAGAGCAAUUCUUCUCUUUUAUCAGGCAGUGUGUCAAAGUGAUUUUUUAUAUCAUAAUGACCCCACUAAAGACAUAGUCAAAGGGACCUUCAAUUUUUUAUUAAUAGCCAUGAUAUUAUUUUAUCCUUAAUGUCAAAAUAAAAGCUUAGGGACACAUACCAAAAGGUGUCUAAAUACUAUUUUAUUGGAUAUAAUACCAAGGCACGUACCAACACUACUUUAGUUGCUGCAUGUUUUUUUGGUUUUUUAAUUUUUGCAUACUAUUUUUGAGUAUAUGUUUGCUUAAAUUUUGUUAUUUAUCAUUUGAUAGAAUAGGCAAAGAUGACGAGCUGGAGUUGGAUGCAUUGUAGGAUUUAUAAGGGAAUAGUGACAGAUGAAUUUAAGAAUAGAGUUGCUAAGUUCAUUGACAUUGCAAUUUCUAAUCCCUCGCACAUGAAAAAUGGGAAAAUUCUCUGCCCUUGUCUUAAGUAUAAGAAUAGAAAGUUCUUGAUACCUGAUGAAGUGACGGUUUCCCUCUGCAAGAAAGGCUUUGUAGAUGGUUAUCACACUUGGAUGCUGCAUGGAGAAUCUAUUCUAGAUCUGAGGAGUUUGGUCCUAAAACUGUUGAUAGAGGAGUGGCAGGUGGUAUGAACUCUUAUGUGGAUAUGGUUAUAGAUGCCACAAGAAGUCCUGAAUUGAAUAAUGAUGCUAGGGAGGAUUUUGAUGAAGCUCCAAAUCCAACAGCUGCUAAGUUUUAUGAAUUGCUUAAAGAUGUCGAUGAGUCACUAUGGGAGGGUUGCAGUAAGCAUACUACGCUAUCAGCGAUCACUCAGUUGUUGAAUUUGAAAUCAGAGUUUAGUAUGAGCGAGGCAUGUUACAAUCGAAUGCUUUUAAUAAUUAAAAGUAUGUUGCCUGAGGAUGAGAAGUUGCCUGAAGAUUUCUAUCAAUCAAAAAAAAUUAUGAAGAAAUUGGGACUGAGCUAUCAGAAGAUAGAUAUUUGCUCAAAUUUUUGCAUGUUGUACUACAUGAAUGAUAGUCAGAAAAUAGAAUGUUCUGUAUGUGGUCAUCCUCAAUUCAAGUGAGCAAAAAAAAAAUGCAAUGUACUAUAUAUGGUAUUGCGAUAUUUCUCUCUUGCUCCUGACUCCAACGAUUGUAUAUGUCAAGUAAGACGGCAAUGCAUGUGAGAUGGCAUGAGGAAGGGGUUCGGCAUAAUUCUGCUAUGAUUUCACAUCCGACAGAUGGGGAAGCAUGGAAGCAAUUUGAUUUGAUGCAUCCAGAGUUUUUAAGUGAUUGUCGGAAUGUUAGAUUAGGUCCUUGUACUAAUGGGUUCAAUCCAUUCACAUCAAGCUCAACACCUUAUUCAUGCUGGUCUAUUUUUUUGAUUCCGUAUAAUCUACCUCCAGGAAUG